This 442-nucleotide ribosomal RNA is filed under the name uncultured bacterium. RNAcentral's name for it is "partial 16S ribosomal RNA". It matches the Rfam family "Bacterial small subunit ribosomal RNA", at positions 338 to 795 of the family's 1533-position model. The record is from RNAcentral.
CCUACGGGGCGCAGCAGUGGGGAAUAUUGGGCAAUGGGCGCAAGCCUGACCCAGCAAUGCCGCGUGAAGGAAGAAGGCUUUCGGGUUGUAAACUUCUUUGACAGGGGAAGAGCAGAAGACGGUACCCUGAAAACAAGCCACGGCUAACUACGUGCCAGCAGCCGCGGUAAUACGUAGGUGGCAAGCGUUGUCCGGAUUUACUGGGUGUAAAGGGCGUGUAGCCGGGAAGGCAAGUCAGAUGUGAAAUCUGGAGGCUCAACCUCCAAAUUGCAUUUGAAACUGUUUUUCUUGAGUACUGGAGAGGCAGACGGAAUUCCGUGGGUAGCGGUGAAAUGCGUAGAUAUAAGGAGGAACACCAGUGGCGAAGGCGGUCUGCUGGACAGCAACUGACGGUGAGGCGCGAAAGCGUGGGGAGCAAACAGGAUUAGAUACCCUUGUAGUC